Molecule: ribosomal RNA, 250 nt
Filed under: uncultured Chroococcidiopsis sp.
Lineage: Bacteria; Bacillati; Cyanobacteriota; Cyanophyceae; Chroococcidiopsidales; Chroococcidiopsidaceae
Description: partial 16S ribosomal RNA
Rfam family: Bacterial small subunit ribosomal RNA
Source: RNAcentral
CUAGCUGUAAACGAUGGAUACUAGGCGUUGAGAGUAUCGACCCUCUCAGUGUCGUAGCUAACGCGUUAAGUAUCCCGCCUGGGGAGUACGCGCGCAAGCGUGAAACUCAAAGGAAUUGACGGGGGCCCGCACAAGCGGUGGAGCAUGUGGUUUAAUUCGAUGCAACGCGAAGAACCUUACCAGGGCUUGACAUGUCCGGAACCCUGCCCAAAGGCGGGGGUGCCUACGGGAACCGGAACACAGGUGGUGC